UAGGGAAUAUUAGAAAUGGACGAAAGUCUGAUCUAGCAACACCGCGUGUGCGAAGAAGGCCUUCGGGUUGUAAAGCACUUUUUGGAAGGAUUAGGAAGGAAUGUACUUCCAGAAUAAGUCUCGGCUAACUACGUGCCAGCAGCCGCAGUAACACGUAGGAGGCAAACGUUAUCCGGAUUUACUGGGCGUAAAGCGCGUGUAGGUGGUUCUGUAAGUAGGGCGUGAAAGCUCCUGGCUCAACUGGGAGAGGCCGUUCUAAACUGCAGAGCUAGAGGAUGGUAGAGGGAGGUGGAAUUCCGGGUGCAGCGGUGGAAUGCGCGGAUAUCCGGAGGAACACCAGUGGCGAAAGCGGCCUCCUGGACCAUUCCUGACACUCAGACGCGAAAGCUAGGGUAGCAAACG
Molecule: ribosomal RNA, 402 nt
Filed under: uncultured prokaryote
Description: bacterial SSU rRNA
Rfam family: Bacterial small subunit ribosomal RNA
Source: RNAcentral